RNAcentral lists this long non-coding RNA (718 nucleotides) under Linum usitatissimum (flax). Its description in RNAcentral is "long non-coding RNA (LUSI_LNC005284)". The record is from RNAcentral. Lineage: Eukaryota; Viridiplantae; Streptophyta; Magnoliopsida; Malpighiales; Linaceae.
UGAUAUUAACCCGACCGAACCGUGGCCAAAGACUAAAUUAAAUAGACUAUUAUCGUUACCUACCACCGAAGACGCAGCCGCAGUUUAUUUAGCAGUGAGUCAGUCUCCUCCAUUUUCUUCUUUCUCUCCAGUCUUUGAUUGCUCCACUCCACUCCCCUGAUUGUGCGACAUUGUUUGUUAACAUUGUAUUCAUAGGUUUCAAUUCACAAGCAAAUUGAAAAAGAACCCAGAUUCUGAAGUUUCUGAUUCAUCACUGAUUUCUUUCCUCCCCUGUUUUCAGCAACCCCCAGAAACAGAGUAACCCAUCCACCGGCGAUAUUCACAGAUGAUCGUUCGUAAAGCCUGAGACUUUGUUAGAGAACACGAGGGAAGAUGAUGGGUUACGAUUGGGCAUGCAAAAAUCCCAACGCUGGCGGUGGCGGCGUCGGCCAAUGGGUGAGAUUCGUUUUGCUGUCUCCGUGUCCACAGAGGUUGAUGCUCUCAUCGCUCGACCUCCUUUUCUUGCUCCUCCUUAUCAUCUUCGCAAUCUCCAAGCUUGUUCAACGGUGGUGGUCGUCGUCGUCGUCGGAACAAAACGACGUCGUUAAGCCUCUGUUGCAGACGGAGCCUUUUUCUUCCCCGACCACCACAACAGACGUCUGGUUCAAGCUAGCUCUAACAGCCACACUUCUAUCGGCAGCUUCCUCCACCGUCUCCCCCCUUCUCGCCCUCACCCGCC